Molecule: ribosomal RNA, 459 nt
Filed under: Triticum aestivum (bread wheat)
Lineage: Eukaryota; Viridiplantae; Streptophyta; Magnoliopsida; Poales; Poaceae
Description: partial small subunit ribosomal RNA
Source: RNAcentral
AUGCAGAUCUUUGUGAAGACCCUCACUGGUAAGACCAUCACCCUCGAGGUCGAGUCUUCUGACACGAUCGAUAAUGUUAAGGCCAAGAUCCAGGAUAAGGAGGGCAUCCCCCCGGACCAGCAGCGUCUCAUCUUCGCUGGCAAGCAGCUCGAGGAUGGCCGCACCUUGGACUACAACAUUCAGAAGGAGUCCACCCUCCACCUGGUGCUCAGGCUCCGUGGUGGCAUGCAGAUUUUUGUCAAGACACUGACCGGCAAGACCAUCACCCUGGAGGUCGAGUCCUCUGACACCAUAGACAACGUCAAGGCAAAGAUCCAGGACAAGGAGGGCAUGCCCCCGGACCAGCAGCGUCUCAUCUUCGCUGGCAAGCAGCUUGAGGAUGGCCGCACCCUUGCUGACUACAACAUCCAGAAGGAGUGCACCCUCCACCUUGUCCUCCGCCUCCGUGGUGGCAUGUAG